ACCGGCAGCUCAAGUGGUGGCCAUUAUUAUUGGGCCUAAAGCGUUCGUAGCCGGUUUGAUAAGUCUCUGGUGAAAUCCCGCAGCUUAACUGUGGGACUUGGUGGAGAUCCUAUCAGACUUGAGGUCGGGAGAGGUUAGGGGUACUCCCAGGGUAGGGGUGAAAUCCGAUGAUCGUGGGAGGACCACCUGUGGCGAAGGCGGCUAACUGGAACGAUCCUGACGGUGAGUAACGAAAGCCAGGGGAGCGAACGG
RNAcentral lists this ribosomal RNA (252 nucleotides) under uncultured prokaryote. RNAcentral's name for it is "partial 16S rRNA". It matches the Rfam family "Archaeal small subunit ribosomal RNA", at positions 475 to 726 of the family's 1478-position model. The record is from RNAcentral.